GCCGUAGUACACUUGUUCCCCCUAUCUAUAGGCUCAAGUGCCUUUUUGCGUACCUGGCUACAAGCCAGGUGAUCGGGAGUUCGAGCCUCUCCGGAGGCACCA
RNAcentral lists this transfer RNA (102 nucleotides) under Gammaproteobacteria bacterium. RNAcentral describes it as "tRNA-Cys". The record is from RNAcentral. RNAcentral also lists the same sequence under 1 other name. Lineage: Bacteria; Pseudomonadati; Pseudomonadota; Gammaproteobacteria.